This 545-nucleotide long non-coding RNA is filed under the name Anser cygnoides (Swan goose). Its description in RNAcentral is "lncRNA (ENSACDG00005006811.1)". The record is from RNAcentral. Lineage: Eukaryota; Metazoa; Chordata; Aves; Anseriformes; Anatidae.
GGGGCCUCGCCCUCCUCAUCCUCGGGGCCUCCGCGCGUGGUCUCAGGGCCUUCAUCCCCGUCCUCCUCCUCCUCAGGGCCUCCAUCCUCAUCCUCUUCCUCCCCAUCCUCAUCCUCAGCGCCCCCACCUUCCUCCUCCUCAUCCUCAGUGCCUUCAUCCUCAGCUCCCUCCUCUUCCUCCUCCUCCUCCUCCUCAGUGCCUUCAUCCUUGUCCUCAGCGCCCCCAUCAUCCUCCUCCUCAUCUUCCUCCUCCUCACCUUCCUCAGUGCCCCCAUCUUCCUCAUCCUCAUCGUCUUCAUCCUCGUCCUCAGUGCCUCCAUCCUCAUCUUCCUCCUCCUCAUCUUCCUCCUCUUUCUCCUCAGUGCCUUCAUCCUUGUCCUCAGCGCCCCCAUCAUCAUCAUCCUCAGCAUCUCCAUCCUCAUCUUCAGCGCCUCCGUCCUCAUCUUCCUCCCUCCUCCUCUUCCUCCUCUUCCUCAGUGCCCCCAUCUUCCUCAUCCUCAGCGCCUCCAUCCUCAUCCUCCUCAUCCUCAUCUUCCUCCUCCUCAG